UUGACCUCGGAUCAGGUAGGAAUACCCGCUGAACUUAAGCAUAUCAAUAAGCGGAGGAAAAGAAACCAACAGGGAUUGCCCUAGUAACGGCGAGUGAAGCGGCAACAGCUCAAAUUUGAAAUCUGGCCCCCGGGUCCGAGUUGUAAUUUGUAGAGGAUGCUUUUGGUGCGGUACCUUCCGAGUUCCCUGGAAACGGGACGCCAUAGAGGGUGAGAGCCCCGUCUGGGUUGGACGCCAAUCCUUUGUAAAGCUCCUUCAACGAGUCGAGUAGUUUGGGGAAAUGCUGCUCUAAAUGGGAGGGUAUAUGUCUUCUAAAGCUAAAAUAUUUGGCCAGAAGACCGAU
Molecule: ribosomal RNA, 343 nt
Filed under: Neonectria lugdunensis
Lineage: Eukaryota; Fungi; Ascomycota; Sordariomycetes; Hypocreales; Nectriaceae
Description: eukaryotic LSU rRNA
Rfam family: Eukaryotic large subunit ribosomal RNA
Source: RNAcentral